RNAcentral lists this ribosomal RNA (253 nucleotides) under uncultured bacterium. RNAcentral describes it as "partial 16S ribosomal RNA". It matches the Rfam family "Bacterial small subunit ribosomal RNA", at positions 524 to 776 of the family's 1533-position model. The record is from RNAcentral.
UACGAAGGGGGCUAGCGUUGCUCGGAAUUACUGGGCGUAAAGCGCACGUAGGCGGCUUUCUAAGUCGGGGGUGAAAUCCUGGAGCUCAACUCCAGAACUGCCUUCGAUACUGGAGAGCUUGAGUCCGGGAGAGGUGAGUGGAACUGCGAGUGUAGAGGUGAAAUUCGUAGAUAUUCGCAAGAACACCAGUGGCGAAGGCGGCUCACUGGCUCAUUACUGACGCUCAGGCGCGACAGCGUGGGGAUCAAACAGG